RNAcentral lists this ribosomal RNA (468 nucleotides) under uncultured bacterium. Its description in RNAcentral is "partial 16S ribosomal RNA". It matches the Rfam family "Bacterial small subunit ribosomal RNA", at positions 28 to 507 of the family's 1533-position model. The record is from RNAcentral.
GACGAACGCUGGCGGCGUGCUUAACACAUGCAAGUCGAACGGAAAGGCCCUGCUUUUGUGGGGUGCUCGAGUGGCGAAGGGGUGAGUAACACGUGUGUAACCUGCCCUUGACUUUGGGAUAACUUCAGGAAACUGGGGCUAAUACCGGAUAGGAGAUCCCGCUGCAUGGAGGGGGUUGGAAAGUUUCGGCGGGUGGGGAUGGACUCGCGGCUUAUCAGCUUGUUGGUGGGGUAGUGGCUUACCAAGGCUUUGACGGGUAGCCGGCCUGAGAGGGUGACCGGCCACAUUGGGACUGAGAUACGGCCCAGACUCCUACGGGAGGCAGCAGUGGGGAAUAUUGCACAAUGGGCGGAAGCCUGAUGCAGCAACGCCGCGUGCGUGAUGACGUCCUUCGGGUUGUAAACCGCUUUCGCCUGUGACGAAGCGUGAGUGACGGUAAUGAGUAAAGAAGCACCGGCUAACUACGUG